ACGCACGCUGGCGGCGUGCUUAACACAUGCAAGUCGAACGGAAAGGCUCCAGCUUGCUGGAGUACUCGAGUGGCGAACGGGUGAGUAACACGUGGGUGAUCUGCCCUGCACUUCGGGAUAAGCCUGGGAAACUGGGUCUAAUACCGGAUAGGACCGCACUUUGGUGUGUGUGGUGGAAAGGUUUUUCUGGUGUGGGAUGAGCUCGCGGCCUAUCAGUUUGUUGGUGGGGUAAUGGCCUACCAAGACGGCGACGGGUAGCCGGCCUGAGAGGGUGGACGGUCACAUUGGGACUGAGAUACGGCCCAGACUCCUACGGGAGGCAGCAGUGGGGAAUAUUGCACAAUGGGGGAAACCCUGAUGCAGCGACGCCGCGUGGGGGAUGAAGGCCUUCGGGUUGUAAACUCCUUUCGCUAGGGACGAAGCUUUUUGUGACGGUACCUGGAGAAGAAGCACCGGCUAACUACGUG
RNAcentral lists this ribosomal RNA (467 nucleotides) under uncultured bacterium. RNAcentral describes it as "partial 16S ribosomal RNA". It matches the Rfam family "Bacterial small subunit ribosomal RNA", at positions 29 to 507 of the family's 1533-position model. The record is from RNAcentral.